GUUUUCCGUAAUUUUCAGCAGUUUGUGUCAAUUAGACCCAUUUCUAAUUAUCCUACAUCAUUUCGCAAAAAAAAUAGGAAUUCAGAAUGUGGAUGGAGAUGACGAAUUCCGUUCGCCGGAUCUGAGUCCCAACAAGUCGUUGAACAGGAGAUCAUAAGGACGCAAAGUAUACAAGAAAGCAGCAGUUCAUCCUCCACAUUCCAACAAAAUGCCAACUGAUGAAGACUGGCCCUCAGUUUUGCCAGUUGCCAGGUCUUUCCAUCCAGCUAGUGUCCUGCUGCCCUUGCAUCAGGGCCGGGUUGUUCCGGGGCAACACCACCCGAGUUCUGCACAGAGUGCCGUAAGAGUUGGAUAUCAACGAAAAGAUUGACAAUCAUUUACCCAUCACAAUCACAACUGGUGAUUACCUCAAUUCUUUCCCCUCAUUGAGUGAUGCCCGAGCCAGAAUUAUAACACUCCAGGCGAAAUUGAGCUCUUUGA
Long non-coding RNA from Daphnia pulicaria, 480 nucleotides. RefSeq lists it as uncharacterized. NCBI's taxonomy places the organism in Eukaryota, Metazoa, Arthropoda, Branchiopoda, Diplostraca, Daphniidae. The transcript has 4 exons. The record is from RefSeq and is a predicted model, not a curated record.